This is a long non-coding RNA of Panicum virgatum (switchgrass), 823 nucleotides long. RefSeq lists it as uncharacterized. The transcript is spliced from 3 exons. The record is from RefSeq and is a predicted model, not a curated record. NCBI's taxonomy places the organism in Eukaryota, Viridiplantae, Streptophyta, Magnoliopsida, Poales, Poaceae.
CUCACAUCUCCCUUGCGACACCUCCUCUCUCGAACUCGGAUCCCCUCUCCCCUGUGAUGCCUCCCUCCGAUUCCAUUCCCCUCUGAAGGUGCGUACCAGCUUUUCCAUCGGAUCUGGUCAUGCUACUCUUGAUCUGUUAGCUUUCAAUCCCCCCAGGUUCAGCAGGCAGUCAAGUCGUCCGACAAUCAGUGGCAUCUUCCUCACCGAUUGCGCUACCAUGGCUUCGGAUGUUUGGACUCUCCAUCUUCAAUGCGAGGGGGCAGCUCCAGGACAUGAACAUGUGCAAAGGGAAAUGGACAAGGAUAUGAUAUGUUUCUUCAACUUGAUGGAGUUUGUCGAAGAAUAUGGGUGCACAUCUAUUGAUUAUUUGUAUUAUAAGAGAAGAGAUAGUUUGGUUGCUAUAGAAAUGGAUACCGAUGUCAUGGAAAUGCUUAAAGACAAUGAGACCACAAAGGAAGUUAGCUUGUUUGUGACAAUGCAGAGAAUGGCCUUUAUGGCAUCUAAGUCGAAGAAAGCAUCAACCAAGUCUGCACCAAAUAAAACUAAAAGGAGAAAAAGUGGUGCAAAGAGCAAGGAGUGUCUGCAUGUUAUUCAAACUAAAUCAAAAUAUGCCAAUGAUAUUGACCAACAGCAUGAUGAUGACAUCCAAGAACCAUCAGGUAUAGAUGUAGUUGCAAUAUAUUGUAAUGCAAAAAAAGUGGACUGCAUUACUACUCUCUGUUUAUUUUGCGAAAGGGGACUAUUUUUGUUAGACAUAUAGAGUUGUAUUUGUGCUUGUAUUGUGUUUCUUGUAACUCAAGCCUAUACAGCCUAUAUAAUGAAA